GAGAGCACCUAAUUCUUGUCUCCCAGACCUUGAACCACAGCCUGGCAGCCUCCAAGGGAUCCUCCCUGCUUGGGGUGCUGUUUGUGGGAGUGCUGCUGGUGGCUCUGGAUCCCACGGAGUGUUCCCAUCCCAUCACCACCGGCUGCCAGCUUCGGGAUCACGGCCACCCAGGGAGUUGGACAUCACGGAGCUGGACACACACCAGGGAGCCGACUCGCUUCUGACACCGAGCUCAGUCUCCAAACAUAAAAGAAGAGAAAGUCAGGACAGAAAAGCAUUGGAGCUUUCUUCUUCCUCCACACCUGCUGUUCCUGGUCGUCAGGCACUUCCAAAGAGGAGAGUUCUCCAAGUUCCCAGUCAUUACCCUUUACAUAAGCAUAAUAUAGUGCUGCACUUCCUACAGGGAAGCUAUCUAUUGUAGCAAUCUGUAAAACAAAAGCUGGAUUGCUCCUUCUCCCAUUGCUCCCAGAAUCAAAAAGCUGCCUGCUGUUCCUCAAAUGGGAAGGCUGAAAGCCUUCAUCAGAGGGUAGUUCAUUUUUACACGACAUUUUUACACUCAAGCAAAACUGAAAGCAAGGCAUAAUUUGAAACAGCCACGCUCGCCGUUAGAGCAGAACCACACAAAUAAAAUGCCUGGGAUGAUGGAGUUGAAUAUGUUGCAGUCAGAAAAAUGACAGCUUGCAGGGAACGAGGAAAACUAGAUGGAUGAAUGGGAAUUAGUGAGGAGCAGACUUCCAAGGCAGACAAAUCAAAUUGAGAGCGUGGAUCAUUAGAUUCAAAGGAAGCAGGUAAGGAGUGCACUAAAUUGUACCUUAAACAACAAACCAAGGGCUCCAGCCUCCAGGGAGAGGGGAUGGAACAGGGCUGGGGAUAUGGGAGUGGCUCCCAGGUGUGUCCUGGCCACUGGCUUUGUGACCUCACCCAGGUCACCCUGUGUCCUUCACAUCAGCUCCUGUGCUGUGGGGCAUGGCAGGCACUGGACAUAGAGGAUGCUUUGAAGAUCUGCAGAUGUGCCCAGCUCCAGAGGAGACAGCUGAAAGCUUCCUGGAUGGCCUGUCCUGGCACCUGUCACCUUCCAGGGCUGCCACUGAUAUCCAUUGUAUGGAGCUGGCUCUUUGCCUGUUUGGUUUUUUUUUUUUUUUCCAGAAGGUGAAGGGAUAUACAAGGGGAGAAAUUACUGUGUUGUUGAAUUUUUCAAAAUUAACUGUGCACGAUUAUACCCAAGGAAGUGGGGUGGAAGAAACACUUCACAUACAGCAGCACUUUGCAGAUGUGAGAAAAUGUGACAUGGUUUGGACCUGCCUGGAAACAGCUGAGCUGGGGGAAUUUGUGUAUUUUAAAAAUAAAGCUCAUGCUUUUCUUGGACAAACUUUCAGGUCACUGUAACACAGAACUGAAGGUCACAAUUCCUAAGAAGAUUAUGAAAUGCCCCAGAUGCUCAGUGUGACAGUCUAGACAAGGCAGCUGAGGGAGAGAUGCUGAAGGAAGUUCCUGGGACUGGUACAGGAAAGAAAAGCCCUCAGGAUGGAAAACUCCACACAGAGCUUCCCUUGGUGCUCCCGCCUGGACACUCCUGCAGAUCCCAGCUGAGUCCUGCUCAAGGAUAAAACUCAUGGUCACAGGGGAACCACUCCCAUUGGAAUCCCAUCUGGCUGAUUCCUCCAUUUCAGCUGAGGUGGAAGUGUCACUGGAUCUCACAGAGAUGUGUGAAUGGAAUGAUAAGGAAAGUUCUCCAGCAGGAGCUGAAAAGCACCACCCUUGCUGGGAGUAUAAACCAACAGAUGCUUUACAAAAGCAAAAGUGAUCUGAUCAUUCCCACAAGAACCAUAGAAUCAUAAAACCAUGGAAAGGUUUGGGUUGGAAGGAACCUUAAAGCUCAUCCAGUCCCACCCCUGCCAUGGGCAGGAACACCUUCCACUGUCCCAGGCUGCUCCAAGCCCUGUCCAGCCUGGCCUUGGGCACUUUCAGAGAUGGGGCAGCCACAGCUGCUCUGGGCAACCUUUGCCAGGGCCAUUUUAUAAACCUGAUGUUAGUGCUGUGUAAUUGAGGGAAAGGCAUCCCCUGCUGUCCCGUGUUAUCCAUCGUUAUCCCAGGUUUAGCCACUUGAACCUGUUACUGAGCUGCACUGAUCUGAACAUGGCAGUUGUUAGGAUUCUUCUCCCCUUCAUUCCUUAAUUAAUAGUCUGUUUAUUUUAUCAAAUGCUUUAUUGGUGAAGAUGUUCAGCAUGUCCAGAGCUUUCCCAUCCCCUUGGCAGCCUCCCACAUUUCGCCCUGCCAUCAAUCCCAUCCUAAUUCGCUUGCCAUGCAAGGUGCUACCCUGCUGGUUUAGUUGGCCAGCCUGGGAUGUGGUUCCUUCCAGCAGCCCUUAAGAAAACCCUUGCACAUCCUUUCCUUCAUUUUAUCCUCUUUUUCCUUUUAGCUCUGGUUGUUUGCAGCAGGCUCUGGCAGCUGUAAAUGUUAGUUAAAGCCUUAUUGAUGCCCGGUGCUUUCCAGCCGCCUGGUGCAGCGGUUUAUUUGGGUCUCUGGUGAUGUUUAGAGAUGCAUUUCCUCUCAUCUUUCCCAGCUAUAUUUUACUGUUUGCUCAUUUGCUUGAUGACAGUUUGCUGCUGGGUUUUGGAAGAGCUUUGCAGUGCAUUAUCUUGUGAGUUAAUCCUGACCUGCUUCCUUGGCUCCAGCAGCUGCCCUGGCACGUCCUGAGCCGGACGCUGCCGCUGUCAGGAAUUUUCUGCCAGGUUUUUGCUGUCAAUAUUUUUGGCCAUUGCUCUGUGUCAGUCACGUCUGGAUUAAGCUCCCCUGUGAUAUCCUGAGGGCGAGAUGAGCUGUGUCACUGCACAAGGGAUCAGCCUUGGUGCUGUGGGGGAGGUUCCUGAGGGUUGGAGAAGCUCCAGCCCACGGGGUCUGGCUGGGAUGGUUCUUGCUAUGAAUCCACGCUCUGUGAUUCUUGAGCUGUCCUAGGAGACUGCUUCACCUUUUUCAGGAUGAUUUAAGAGGAUGUGCUGUUCAGGAUUCCCACUCGAGUGUUAUUUAUUAGUUUUGUAGUGUCUUCCAGGCUGCUUUCUUCAGGCUAGUGUUGAUUCCUUGGGGACAAAGGAAACAAAGGCAGGAGAACGCUUGCAGGAGGGAUAAAACAGGAGUCUGACUGAUAUCUUCUCUCUCUCUCUCCAUGGUGUUUUUUCACAGAUCAAAAAUCAAUUAAGGGCGAAUUUCACUGGGAACUCUUUAAACAAUGUGAUAUUUCAUUAGAGAUUAUUGCAGGCUCUUUAACAUUUGCAGUCCAGGUGUGAAUUACAAAAUUAGCCAGAUUCCUUUAAUGAUUUCCUCCGAGGUAACAUUCCUCCAAGCACCCUGUGCCUGGAGCAAGCUGUGCAGCUGCUGCUGGAGAAGGGGUGUUUAUUGCCUCCCCCCACAUCCUGAUGGAGACACAAGACUGGAGGACUGGUUUUGAUUGUGACAGCAGCCUGGCUGGGCACAGGGUUUUGGCCUGGAAGAUGAGAACUGAAGCAAAUAAGAGUGGAAUGCUGUAGGAGAGGUAGAGAGGAGCUUUGAGAUGAGCAGAUUUGUUUUUUUUUUCUCCAAUCCCUUAUUGAGCUGUUAGCAGCACAAGCUUGUGCCUUUUUGAGACUUCCCUAUGGCUUUCCAGGUCCUUCCCUUGCUCCUGGAUCUGUCCCUGCUGCCAUCUGAACCCCACAGCACAGAGACAGAAGCACUUUGGAGGUGCCAGUGAGCUUUCACUGCCAUCUGGAUUUCUUGGGACACAGCACUCCUUCCAAACCCUUCCCCUCCUGAAGGCACAAAGAGCUGAGCAGUCUGGGUCCUCUGCUCCAGUGCAACUCCCUCUCCAUCAUUAAUCCUGCCUGGAACUUGCCCUUUUCAGUGCCCAUUCCCUCCCUCGUCCAUCUUGCCUUAUUCACAGCCCAGUUAUUAAUCCUUAUUUGGGGCUCAUCUGUCUUAGUGAGCUCGGGGAGCCACCCCUGGCAGGGAGAGGAGCACCUUUCAUUGCUUUCAGGGUGCUGUGGUUGGGUGGGAGGGAAAUGGGUCAGUUUUGGG
This is a long non-coding RNA of Melospiza georgiana, 4047 nucleotides long. RefSeq lists it as uncharacterized. The record is from RefSeq and is a predicted model, not a curated record. Lineage: Eukaryota; Metazoa; Chordata; Aves; Passeriformes; Passerellidae. The transcript has 3 exons.